UGAGGAAUCUUGCACAAUGGGCGCAAGCCUGAUGCAGCGAUGCCGCGUGAGGGAUGACGGCCUUCGGGUUGUAAACCUCUUUCGACAGGGAAGAAGCCUCGGGUCACCGGGGUGACGGUACCUGUAGAAGAAGCCCCGGCUAACUACGUGCCAGCAGCCGCGGUAAAACGUAGGGGGCGAGCGUUGCCCGGAUUCACUGGGCGUAAAGCGGGUGUAGGCGGUCCGUUAAGUCGGAUGUGAAAUCUCCGAGCUCAACUCGGAAACUGCAUCCGAUACUGGCGGACUUGAGGACGGUAGAGGUCGGUGGAAUGACCAGUGUACCGGUGAAAUGGACAGAUAUUGGUCGGAACACCAGUGGCGAAGGCGGCCGACUGGGCCGUUCCUGACGCUGAGACCCGAAAGCCAGGGUAGCGAACCG
RNAcentral lists this ribosomal RNA (418 nucleotides) under uncultured bacterium. RNAcentral's name for it is "bacterial SSU rRNA". It matches the Rfam family "Bacterial small subunit ribosomal RNA", at positions 355 to 775 of the family's 1533-position model. The record is from RNAcentral.